This 575-nucleotide ribosomal RNA is filed under the name Ditylum brightwellii. RNAcentral describes it as "partial Bacterial large subunit ribosomal RNA". It matches the Rfam family "Bacterial large subunit ribosomal RNA", at positions 221 to 858 of the family's 2925-position model. The record is from RNAcentral. Lineage: Eukaryota; Bacillariophyta; Thalassiosirophyceae; Lithodesmiales; Lithodesmiaceae.
GACAUCAAUCGAGACUCCGUUAGUAGUGGCGAGCGAACGCGGACCAGGCCUGGUCUGAAAUAAGGAGAAGUAUCUGGGAAGGUACGCCGUAGUGGGUGAUAGCCCCGUAUCCGUAAAAUGAAGACCUUUUAGAGUAGGGCGGGACACGUGAAAUCCUGUCUGAACAUGGGGGGACCACCCUCCAAGCCUAAGUACUCCUUACCGACCGAUAGUGAACAAGUACCGUGAGGGAAUGAUGAAAAGAACCCCGAUGAGGGGAGUGAAACAGAUCCUGAAACCGGAUGCCUACAAGCUGAUGGAGCUCUUCGGAGUGACAUCGUACCUUUUGUAUAAUGGGUCAGCGACUUAGUGUUGCGUGCAAGCUUAAGCCGAUAGGUGUAGGCACAGCGAAAGCGAGUCUUAAUAGGGCGAAUGAGUACGUAGCAUUAGACCCGAAGGCAAGUGAUCUAGAUAUGGGCAGGCUGAAGGUGCAGUAACAUGCACUGGAGGGCCGAACCGUUGAGCGUUGAAAAGCUCUCGGAUGACCUGUGUCUAGGGGUGAAAGGCCAAUCAAACUUGCUGAUAGCUGGUUCUCC